GCACGGGUGCGUAACGCGUGGGAAUCUGCCCUUGGGUUCGGAAUAACUUCGGGAAACUGAAGCUAAUACCGGAUGAUGACGUAAGUCCAAAGAUUUAUCGCCCAAGGAUGAGCCCGCGUAGGAUUAGNNNNUUGGUGAGGUAAAGGCUCACCAAGGCGACGAUCCUUAGCUGGUCUGAGAGGAUGAUCAGCCACACUGGGACUGAGACACGGCCCAGACUCCUACGGGAGGCAGCAGUGGGGAAUAUUGGACAAUGGGCGAAAGCCUGAUCCAGCAAUGCCGCGUGAGUGAUGAAGGCCUUAGGGUUGUAAAGCUCUUUUGCCCGGGAUGAUAAUGACAGUACCGGGAGAAUAAGCUCCGGCUAACUCCGUGCCAGCAGCCGCGGUAAUACGGAGGGAGCUAGCGUUGUUCGGAAUUACUGGGCGUAAAGCGCACGUAGGCGGCUUUGUAAGUUAGAGGUGAAAGCCUGGAGCUCAACUCCAGAAUUGCCUUUAAGACUGCAUCGCUUGAAUCCAGGAGAGGUGAGUGGAAUUCCGAGUGUAGAGGUGAAAUUCGUAGAUAUUCGGAAGAACACCAGUGGCGAAGGCGGCUCACUGGACUGGUAUUGACGCUGAGGUGCGAAAGCGUGGGG
RNAcentral lists this ribosomal RNA (631 nucleotides) under uncultured bacterium. Its description in RNAcentral is "bacterial SSU rRNA". It matches the Rfam family "Bacterial small subunit ribosomal RNA", at positions 100 to 766 of the family's 1533-position model. The record is from RNAcentral.